GUGCUCACUUCAGCGGCACAUAUACUAAUAUUGGAAUGAUACAUAGAAGAGGAGCAUGGCCCCUGUGCAAGGAUGGCAUACAAAUUUGUGAAGCAUUUCAUAUUUUC
This is a small nuclear RNA of Cricetulus griseus (Chinese hamster), 107 nucleotides long. The record is from Ensembl. Lineage: Eukaryota; Metazoa; Chordata; Mammalia; Rodentia; Cricetidae.